Molecule: ribosomal RNA, 253 nt
Filed under: uncultured bacterium
Lineage: Bacteria
Description: partial 16S ribosomal RNA
Rfam family: Bacterial small subunit ribosomal RNA
Source: RNAcentral
UACGAAGGGGGCUAGCGUUUUUCGGAAUCACUGGGCGUAAAGCGCGCGCAGGCGGCUUUCCAAGUCAGGGGUGAAAUCCCGGGGCUUAACCCCGGAACUGCCUUUGAAACUGGUAAGCUGGAGACUCGGAGAGGAUAGUGGAAUUCCAGGUGUAGAGGUGAAAUUCGUAGAUACCUGGAGGAACACCGAUGGCGAAGGCAGCUAUCUGGACGAGCGCUGACGCUGAGGCGCGAAAGCGUGGGGAUCAAACAGG